UGGGGAAUUUUCCGCAAUGGGCGCAAGCCUGACGGAGCAAGACCGCGUGAGGGAGGAAGGCCCUUGGGUUGUAAACCUCUUUUCUCAGGGAAGAAGAAAGUGACGGUACCUGAGGAAUCAGCCUCGGCUAACUCCGUGCCAGCAGCCGCGGUAAGACGGAGGGGGCAAGCGUUGUCCGGACUCACUGGGCGUAAAGGGCGCGCAGGCGGGACGGCGCGUCGGCGCUGAAAGCGCCCGGCUUAACCGGGCGCGGCGCGGCGAUACGACCGACCUGGUGGCAGGCAGAGGGUGGCGGAAUUCCGGGUGUAGUGGUGAAAUGCGUAGAGAUCCGGAGGAACGCCUGUGGCGCAAGCGGCCGCCUGGGCCUGACCUGACGCUGAGGCGCGAAAGCGUGGGGAGCGAACCGGAUUAGAUACCCGUGUAGUCC
This 427-nucleotide ribosomal RNA is filed under the name uncultured prokaryote. RNAcentral describes it as "partial 16S ribosomal RNA". It matches the Rfam family "Bacterial small subunit ribosomal RNA", at positions 355 to 796 of the family's 1533-position model. The record is from RNAcentral.